RNAcentral lists this ribosomal RNA (484 nucleotides) under uncultured bacterium. RNAcentral's name for it is "partial 16S ribosomal RNA". It matches the Rfam family "Bacterial small subunit ribosomal RNA", at positions 29 to 507 of the family's 1533-position model. The record is from RNAcentral.
AUUGAACGCUGGCGGCAUGCUUUACACAUGCAAGUCGAACGGCAGCGCGGGCUUCGGCCUGGCGGCGAGUGGCGAACGGGUGAGUAAUACAUCGGAACGUGCCCAGUAGUGGGGGAUAGCUCGGCGAAAGCCGGAUUAAUACCGCAUACGACCUGAGGGUGAAAGCGGGGGAUCUUCGGACCUCGCGCUAUUGGAGCGGCCGAUGGCAGAUUAGCUAGUUGGUGGGGUAAAGGCCUACCAAGGCGACGAUCUGUAGCUGGUCUGAGAGGACGACCAACCACACUGGGACUGAGACACGGCCCAGACUCCUACGGGAGGCAGCAGUGGGGAAUUUUGGACAAUGGGCGAAAGCCUGAUCCAGCAAUGCCGCGUGUGUGAUGAAGGCCUUCGGGUUGUAAAGCACUUUUGGCGGGAACGAAAAGGACUGUGCCAAUACCACGGUUCGAUGACGGUACCCGCAGAAUAAGCACCGGCUAACUACGUG